CAGCCGCCGCGGUAAUACGUAGGUGGCAAGCGUUGUCCGGAAUUAUUGGGCGUAAAGGGCUCGCAGGCGGUUUCUUAAGUCUGAUGUGAAAGCCCCCGGCUCAGCCGGGGAGGGUCAUUGGAAACUGGGAAACUUGAGUGCAGAAGAGGAGAGUGGAAUUCCACGUGUAGCGGUGAAAUGCGUAGAGAUGUGGAGGAACACCAGUGGCGAAGGCGACUCUCUGGUCUGUAACUGACGCUGAGGAGCGAGAGCGUGGGGAGCAAACAGGAUUAGAUACCCCUGUAGUCCCUGUCUCUUAUAC
Molecule: ribosomal RNA, 301 nt
Filed under: uncultured bacterium
Lineage: Bacteria
Description: partial 16S ribosomal RNA
Rfam family: Bacterial small subunit ribosomal RNA
Source: RNAcentral